AAGUUUCUGGGGCAAGAAGCAGUAGGUUUAAGCCACGUUUCACAUAAACCAAUCAUAUAUACGUGGUGUUCCACAAUUAGAUAGUUUAUCAACAGUGAUUUUGAGGACAGUGACCUUAUGAUCAUGAGACCCAAACUAAGGACCGCAGUGGGGUUGACAAUUGAACUGUUGGCAUUUGGUGGUGGUUUCAGAGUAGUAUAUAUAAGAUGCCUAAAAUUAGGU
Thalassophryne amazonica is the source of this 222-nucleotide long non-coding RNA. RefSeq lists it as uncharacterized. NCBI's taxonomy places the organism in Eukaryota, Metazoa, Chordata, Actinopteri, Batrachoidiformes, Batrachoididae. The transcript is spliced from 3 exons. The record is from RefSeq and is a predicted model, not a curated record.